UACGGGGGGGGCAAGCGUUGUUCGGAAUUACUGGGCGUAAAGGGCUCGUAGGUGGCCAACUAAGUCAGACGUGAAAUCCCUCAGCUUAACUGGGGAACUGCGUCUGAUACUGGAUGGCUUGAGUUUGGGAGAGGGAUGCGGAAUUCCAGGUGUAGCGGUGAAAUGCGUAGAUAUCUGGAGGAACACCGGUGGCGAAGGCGGCAUUCUGGACCGGCAUUGACGCUGAGGCGCGAAAGCCAGGGGAGCAAACGGG
This 253-nucleotide ribosomal RNA is filed under the name uncultured bacterium. Its description in RNAcentral is "partial 16S ribosomal RNA". It matches the Rfam family "Bacterial small subunit ribosomal RNA", at positions 524 to 776 of the family's 1533-position model. The record is from RNAcentral.